RNAcentral lists this ribosomal RNA (253 nucleotides) under uncultured bacterium. Its description in RNAcentral is "partial 16S ribosomal RNA". It matches the Rfam family "Bacterial small subunit ribosomal RNA", at positions 524 to 776 of the family's 1533-position model. The record is from RNAcentral.
UACGGGGGGAGCAAGCGUUGUUCGGAUUUACUGGGCGUAAAGGGCGCGUAGGCGGCGUGACAAGUCACUUGUGAAAUCUCCGGGCUUAACUCGGAACGGUCAAGUGAUACUGUCGUGCUAGAGUACAGAAGGGGCAACUGGAAUUCUCGGUGUAGCGGUGAAAUGCGUAGAUAUCGAGAGGAACACCUGCGGCGAAGGCAGGUCUCUGGGCAUUAACUGACGCUGAGGAGCGAAAGCAUGGGGAGCGAACAGG